This 433-nucleotide ribosomal RNA is filed under the name uncultured bacterium. RNAcentral describes it as "partial 16S ribosomal RNA". It matches the Rfam family "Bacterial small subunit ribosomal RNA", at positions 29 to 507 of the family's 1533-position model. The record is from RNAcentral.
AGCGAACGCUGGCGGCAGGCCUAACACAUGCAAGUCGAACGAACUCUUCGGAGUUAGUGGCGGACGGGUGAGUAACACGUGGGAACGUGCCUUUUGGUUCGGAAUAACUCAGGGAAACUUGUGCUAAUACCGAAUGUGCCCUUCGGGGGAAAGAUUUAUCGCCAUUAGAGCGGGCCGCGUCUGAUUAGCUAGUUGGUGAGGUAACGGCUCACCAAGGCGACGAUCAGUAGCUGGUCUGAGAGGAUGACCAGCCACACUGGGACUGGGACACGGCCCAGACUCCGACGGGAGGCAGCAGUGAGGAAUCGUGCGCAAUGGGAGAAAGGAUGACGCAGCCAUGCCGCGUGAAUGAUGAAGGUCUUAGGAUUGUAAAAUUCUUUCACCGGGGACGAUAAUGACGGUACCCGGAGAAGAAGCCCCGGCUAACUUCGUG